This 963-nucleotide long non-coding RNA is filed under the name Fukomys damarensis (Damara mole-rat). RNAcentral's name for it is "lncRNA (ENSFDAG00000032778.1)". The record is from RNAcentral. Lineage: Eukaryota; Metazoa; Chordata; Mammalia; Rodentia; Bathyergidae.
GAGUAAAACCUUUUAUGAUUAUAUGUUACUUUUAUCAUUGCAGUGUUAAGGUGUCCAAAUAGUUGUCAGUUUUGACCUCCUUAAAUUCUUUAUCAAUUUGCAGCCCAAAAGACAAAGUCAACUGAUGAUAAUGAAAAACCUAUGUGGUCUUCAAAUGAAGGAUGAUUAUAUAUUGCAAGUAGCUUAGUAUAAUAUCUAAAUUAGGAUUCUUUCCAAUCAGUCACCCUAUUUUACGACCUUGAACGGCUUUAGGAAAUUUUGUUUGAUUAUCUAAUGCACAUUUUAAAUUAAAUUUAAUUAUUCCCUCAGAAUGAAGGAGAGAUAACCAACUAAAUUUCCAGAUCUGAAGGUUCCAAGGAUUGAUUGAAUCAAUCAGAAACAUGUGGACCUAGUAUUUAUCACUAAAAUAUUACUUGUAUAUUCAUAAAUACCUGUCAUUUAAAUACUUUUUAAAUAUAGAUUACUACACCUUCUGCUUUCUAGAAAGAACAAAGGUGAACUCUGCAGAUGAAUAGUGUCCUGAUUGAAGACUCUCAGAAUUCCAUCAGAAGAAGACUAAGGAGAAGGGUGAGAAUUAUAAGUCACAACUGCCUAAAAUCAGUGAACUGAAAAUGUAUGAACAAGAAAAUACAGAAAAUAUAAUUACACUUCACUGUUUCAGGGAUAGAAACAUGAAAAUGGCUGCUUAUAAUCAAAGAAAAGACAUUUGGAAGCUCUUAGAAGGAGCCAGUUCUGCUAACACCAUGAUCUCAGAGUUCUUGCCUUCCAAAUUGUGAUAAAACAGAUUUCUCUUUGAGCCAUCCAGCUUAACAACAGCUACAGCAGCCACUGAACAUUAACAUAUGGAGCAUACACAAGGUCUAGACAUGAUGAACCAUUAACUACUUUCUUCAUCAUUUUGGAUCUACUAUAAUAUGUUGGUAUGCUGUUUCCUUGGCUUCUACUUUUCUUCUUACCACCCCA